ACAACGACAAUAACACCGCUUUGCUGCCACCAGCGAUCGAGUCUUUCUCCUUUCCUUUGCACAAUAAUGGUCAAGGUGUAAUAGUUAACAAUACCAUCACAACGCAUGAGUUUUCUAUCCCUCAGUUCUCCAACAAUAUCAUGCAAUCUCAACCACAGUGUGAACCAAAGGUUGGACACAGCAAUAGUCUUUUUCUCAAUGAGAUCAUGAACCACGAAACCUUCUCAAAGAAAGACCAAGAUCAGGAAAAGGCAUUAAAAUCAAUGCACCUUCACACACCAUAGAAGCACCCAAUUUCAAUUGGGUUCUUUGCUGCAACACAAGCACAAUGUUUUUCUUAUUAGGUUUAAUACAUUCACCUAUGGUGGGGACAACCGCAAAGGCGGUGGAGGUGGCAGAGGAGUUGCGCCAGAUGAAGUCGCAGCGGUAGGAGGACUCGAAGGCGAACGCUCGAGUGAUGGAGAUCUUCACAUCACACCGAAACGCGUGGCAGGCGGAGGAGAAGCGGCUGUUGCAGCAGAUCGAGGCGGCGACAGAGGAGAUUAUGUGCCUGAGGGGACGCGUGGCAAAGUUGAAGGAGGUGAGGAGUAGCGACCCCUGACGGUGCUCCGGUGAUAAUGCUCGGUCGUACGACAAUCACAACAUUGUUUUGGUGACGACUCCAGAUUGUGCGGCGUAGUGGGCGGUGGGUGAGGGGAGUCCCGUGAUUGAUUGUACAAAUAAACCAUUCAAAAAAUUUUAAUACACCUCAGCAUGUCACCAAAUCUAAAAAAAUUACAUCUCAGUAUGUGUACAGACUGCGUUAAUGAAAACUUAACGAAAACAACUUAAUUAUUUUAUUUUAACAACUUUA
Vigna angularis (adzuki bean) is the source of this 853-nucleotide long non-coding RNA. RefSeq lists it as uncharacterized. Lineage: Eukaryota; Viridiplantae; Streptophyta; Magnoliopsida; Fabales; Fabaceae. The transcript is spliced from 2 exons. The record is from RefSeq and is a predicted model, not a curated record.